ACUCGACUCAGAAAAAAAAUGCGUGGGAUAUUUUAGCCGAAAAAAUAAAAGUUAUAGACCCAACGGCCAACGCCGUGACUGCAAAGAAAAAGAUAGACAAUCUUAGGAUUUCGUAUACAAGAGAAUAUAAGAAGGUCAAAGAAUCAAAAAACCGAACUGGAUCGUCUGCUAGUGACAUUCAUAAGCCAAGUCUGUGGUAUUAUGACUUAUUGUCAUUCUUGGA
Long non-coding RNA from Pieris napi, 223 nucleotides. RefSeq lists it as uncharacterized. The transcript is spliced from 2 exons. Lineage: Eukaryota; Metazoa; Arthropoda; Insecta; Lepidoptera; Pieridae. The record is from RefSeq and is a predicted model, not a curated record.